This 274-nucleotide ribosomal RNA is filed under the name uncultured bacterium. Its description in RNAcentral is "partial 16S ribosomal RNA". It matches the Rfam family "Bacterial small subunit ribosomal RNA", at positions 523 to 796 of the family's 1533-position model. The record is from RNAcentral.
AUACGGAGGGUGCAAGCGUUAUCCGGAAUCAUUGGGUUUAAAGGGUCCGUAGGCGGAUAAUUAAGUCAGGGGUGAAAUCCCACAGCUCAACUGUGGCACUGCCUUUGAUACUGGUUAUCUUGAGUUAUAGGGAAGUAGAUAGAAUAUGUAGUGUAGCGGUGAAAUGCAUAGAUAUUACAUAGAAUACCGAUUGCGAAGGCAGUCUACUAUCUGUAUACUGACGCUAAGGGACGAAAGCGUGGGGAGCGAACAGGAUUAGAAACCCUAGUAGUCC